RNAcentral lists this long non-coding RNA (1486 nucleotides) under Bos indicus x Bos taurus (hybrid cattle). Its description in RNAcentral is "lncRNA (ENSBIXG00005031596.1)". Lineage: Eukaryota; Metazoa; Chordata; Mammalia; Artiodactyla; Bovidae. The record is from RNAcentral.
CCAGGUUUUAAAAGUCUGCCUCAGUUAAUGUGGUUGCAAUUAAGGAAUCGCAUGAUGGUUUUUGCAAGUCUUAAUGGUGAAAAAUUAAAAGCAGCAAAGCUUCAAAUGGAUCCACAAUGAAAGCAUGUUUUAAAGCCUCUGGAGGAGACAAGUGCUGUUCAGAGCAUUUUAAGCCCUUCGUCUUUCACCACAGACACCAGCAGACCUGACGGGACGCUGCAGAGGCAGCAGCUGCAGUGAGCAGGCAUGAUGAAAGCACCAGGCCGUGAAGCCCCAUUAGGAAAAGAUUUAAGUGGCAUAUUUACAUCCUGUCUGCAUGGGAACUUGAUAAACAGCUCCAGCAAAUUGGAUGGGAAUGCAGAGGAAAAGAAGAUCUUCACGAGGAUUUCUACAAUCAGCCUUGGCAUCAGCACCCAGCGGCCUCAUUGGCCCUGUGAUUUUUGCUGCCUUCCUUCAGUUGCUCUACUUGACAGCAAAGACUGCUGACAGCCCAGCUGAAUUCCCUAAACUCUGAUUGUCUAUCAGACCAAAAGAUGACAAAUGAGGUUUUCACGCUCAUUGAUGAGCACAUCACGAAAAUGACAUAAUGGUGUAAUUUUUUUGCCCGAAGACAAGGAACAAGAUGUACUGGAAAUCAUUGUGUUUCAUGUUUUUGUUCCCUUCCCACCUUCAUCUGACCACAGUUGUCACUCAGAACUCUUAGAGAGGAGCAGAAACGGCUGCCGUCCUUUGAGUGGCUGUCUGGGUGUGUGUCCAGGUCAAGGUCACACUUAUCAGUGCCCAGGACAUGCUUUUCGUACUGGGAGGGGUUAUCCCAGGAACAUUUUACAGGCUGUUAACUGACAGCCUUAAAAUUGGAUGUGACACCCUGAAUAACACCUUUUGGGGGAGAAAACUUGACAGACACCCAUCUAGAGAAAUAACGACCUAUUUAUGUCCCACCUAAACAAUACUUGAGCAGUACACGAGUUCUUGAAGAGAAGAGUUUGAAGAACUUUGUGAUACUGCUCUUGAGCCACUUUUGACAAUGAGCCCAAAUGAACUUGUUCAGUUAUUCAGGUUGGAGUUAGUAUCCAGGUGAACAGUUUGGUGUAGGGUUUUGUUUUUUUUAGUCUUAUGAAAAGUCAUUCAGUGUCACCCACUGACCAGCUCAGCCUAGACCCACACGCAGGUUCAGCUUGAAAGUCCUGACUUCUGCCCCAUGGGUGGGGCAGGGUUCCCAGAGAGCUGGUGCUUCCAUCAGACAGAUGGCCUGUGAUGAGUCUACAGGGCUUCCAAACUACAACCAGAAAGUUUGCUGUUUUCUCUAAAGGGUGCUUUAUAGAAUUUUAUUUUAAACAAGAUUCUAAAUUCAGGAGGUUAAGCCAAAAAUGGGCAUGAUGGAAAUUACCAUUCAAAUAUGCAUAGUUUUUUCCCCUUUAUUAGUACAGGCCACCAUUUCUUUGGUUUAGUAUAAGCUAACUCAGUGAGCUUGUGUUCUGUUGGC